This 404-nucleotide ribosomal RNA is filed under the name uncultured soil bacterium. Its description in RNAcentral is "bacterial SSU rRNA". It matches the Rfam family "Bacterial small subunit ribosomal RNA", at positions 26 to 419 of the family's 1533-position model. The record is from RNAcentral.
AGAGUGAACGCUGGCGGCAGGCCUAACACAUGCAAGUCGAACGGCAGCACAGAGGAGCUUGCUCCUUGGGUGGCGAGUGGCGGACGGGUGAGGAAUACGUCGGAAUCUGCCUAUUUGGUGGGGGAUAACGUAGGGAAACUUACGCUAAUACCGCAUACGACCUACGGGUGAAAGCGGAGGACCUUCGGGCUUCGCGCAGAUGGAUGAGCCGACGUCGGAUUAGCUAGUUGGCGGGUAAAGCCCACCAAGGCGACGAUCCGUAGCUGGUCUGAGAGGAUGAUCAGCCACACUGGAACUGAGACACGGUCCAGACCUCCGUACGGGAGCAGCAGUGGGAAUAGUGGGAACAGUGGGACGCAAGCCUAGACUCCGAGCCAUGCCGCGUGUGUAGAAGGAAGUCCGUU